CCUUCCUCUUGACACCUCCAGGCCUCCCGUCCUCCCGGGAGAUGGCAGCAGCAUCCCCGCCUGGGAAGGGCGAAAUCACUUCUUUGAGGCUUGGCUGCCACAGGGCGACCUGCUUCUCAAAAACCGUCUGGCGUUCGCCUUCCUUGACAACCCGGCUGCUACCCCCGACAUUUCGUCCUUCAUCGACGCCGCUCUUGGGUCUGCGUGUCCCGGCAUCCGCGUCGAACUCCUCCCAUCUUCUAGGGGGGUCAAACUCCUGCGGUUCGCCAACAACUCAGACCGGGAGCGGCUGCGGGCGCUCAGCCCCAUCAGUUUUGGGGGGUUGUCCCUCUCCCUGGAGCGCCCGGAGGAGACCUCUAACAGAUUCAUCCGCACUCCCGAGUGGUUGGCUCUGGUGGCCCUCACUGACUUCCCUCCGGAGCAGUGGUCGGACGCCUCUAUCCGUCGCUGCUUCACGGCGGGAGCUGAAGUUCUGGAGAUCAACCCGGACUGUCUGGAUGGGCACAAUUAUGGCCCCCUCCAGCUGGUCUUGCAAGUGAAUCACUAUCUUGACAUCCCCUACGAGAUUCUCGUCUCUGAACCCUGUGGCCUUUCCCGCGAAGGCAGCCUAGUUCAGGUGACGCCUCUCCGGAUCUGGCCCCGUUCGGAGCAACUGGAUACCGCAGGGCGCCUGAUCCCUUUCUUCCACCACCCCCACCACCUCCAGAUGCCUCGCGGCAGCAUGCCGGCUCGUCGUCCGCUUUGGGGGACCAGCCUCCUAAC
This 762-nucleotide unclassified non-coding RNA is filed under the name Zea mays. RNAcentral's name for it is "misc RNA Zm00001eb349280". Lineage: Eukaryota; Viridiplantae; Streptophyta; Magnoliopsida; Poales; Poaceae. The record is from RNAcentral.